GAUCUGGCUCAGGACGAACGCUGGCGGCGCGCCUAACACAUGCAAGUCGAACGAGCGAGAGAGAGCUUGCUUUCUCGAGCGAGUGGCGAACGGGUGAGUAACGCGUGAGGAACCUGCCUCAAAGAGGGGGACAACAGUUGGAAACGACUGCUAAUACCGCAUAAGCCCACGACCCGGCAUCGGGUUGAGGGAAAAGGAGCAAUCCGCUUUGAGAUGGCCUCGCGUCCGAUUAGCUAGUUGGUG
RNAcentral lists this ribosomal RNA (243 nucleotides) under uncultured bacterium. RNAcentral describes it as "partial 16S ribosomal RNA". It matches the Rfam family "Bacterial small subunit ribosomal RNA", at positions 15 to 254 of the family's 1533-position model. The record is from RNAcentral.